This 490-nucleotide ribosomal RNA is filed under the name uncultured bacterium. RNAcentral describes it as "partial 16S ribosomal RNA". It matches the Rfam family "Bacterial small subunit ribosomal RNA", at positions 30 to 507 of the family's 1533-position model. The record is from RNAcentral.
AUUGAACGCUGGCGGCAGGCCUAACACAUGCAAGUCGAACGGUAACAGGAAGAGGCUUGCUUCUUUGCUGACGAGUGGCGGACGGGUGAGUAAUGUCUGGGAAACUGCCUGAUGGAGGGGGAUAACUACUGGAAACGGUAGCUAAUACCGCAUAACGUCGCAAGACCAAAAAGGGGGACCUUCGGGCCUCUUGCCAUCGGAUGUGCCCAGAUGGGAUUAGCUAGUAGGUGGGGUAACGGCUCACCUAGGCGACGAUCCCUAGCUGGUCUGAGAGGAUGACCAGCCACACUGGAACUGAGACACGGUCCAGACUCCUACGGGAGGCAGCAGUGGGGAAUAUUGCACAAUGGGCGCAAGCCUGAUGCAGCCAUGCCGCGUGUAUGAAGAAGGCCUUCGGGUUGUAAAGUACUUUCAGCGGGGAGGAAGGGAGUAAAGUUAAUACCUUUGCUCAUUGACGUUACCCGCAGAAGAAGCACCGGCUAACUCCGUG